CAUGCAGGCGGAUUAAUAAGUUUGAAGUGAAAUCCUAUAGCUUAACUAUAGAACUGCUUUGAAAACUGUUAAUCUAGAAUGUGGGAGAGGUAGAUGGAAUUUCUGGUGUAGGGUAAAAUCCGUAGAGAUCAGAAGGAAUACCGAUUGCGAAGGCGAUCUACUGGAACAUUAUUGACGCUGAGAUGCGAAAGCGUGGGGAGCAAACA
Molecule: ribosomal RNA, 206 nt
Filed under: uncultured bacterium
Lineage: Bacteria
Description: partial 16S ribosomal RNA
Rfam family: Bacterial small subunit ribosomal RNA
Source: RNAcentral